This 941-nucleotide ribosomal RNA is filed under the name uncultured bacterium. Its description in RNAcentral is "bacterial SSU rRNA". It matches the Rfam family "Bacterial small subunit ribosomal RNA", at positions 551 to 1490 of the family's 1533-position model. The record is from RNAcentral.
UUACUGGGCGUAAAGCGUGCGUAGGCGGUUUAUUAAGUCAGAUGUGAAAGCCCCGGGCUUAACCUGGGAACUGCAUUUGAAACUGGUAAACUAGAGUAUGGUAGAGGAGAGUAGAAUUUCUGGUGUAGCGGUGAAAUGCGUAGAUAUCAGAAGGAAUACCAAUGGCGAAGGCAGCUCUCUGGCUCGUCACUGACGCUGAGGUGCGAAAGCGUGGGUAGCAAACAGGAUUAGAUACCCUGGUAGUCCACGCCGUAAACGAUGAGAACUAGCCGUUGGGCAGAUUUAACUGUUCAGUGGCACAGCUAACGCAUUAAGUUCUCCGCCUGGGGAGUACGGCCGCAAGGCUAAAACUCAAAUGAAUUGACGGGGACCCGCACAAGUGGUGGAGCAUGUGGUUUAAUUCGAUGCAGCGCGAAGAACCUUACCAACCCUUGAAAUCUAGCGAAGUUCACAGAGAUGAGAAUGUGCCUUCGGGAACGCUAUGACAGGUGUCGCAUGGCUGUCGUCAGCUCGUGUCGUGAGAUGUAUGGUUAAGUCCAGUAACGAGCGCAACCCCUAUCCUUAUUUGCCAGCGCGUUAAGGCGGGAACUAUAGGGAGACUGCCGGGUGAAACCCGGAGGAAGGCGGGGACGAGGUCAAGUCAUCAUGGCCCUUAUGGGUUGGGCUACACACGUGCUACAAUGGGAAGUACAGAGGGACGCUAAAGCGCGAGCUGGAGCCAAACCCUUAAAACUUUUCUUAGUCCGGAUUGGAGUCUGCAACUCGACUCCAUGAAGUCGGAAUCACUAGUAAUCGCGAAUCAGAAUGUCGCGGUGAAUACGUUCUCGGGCCUUGUACACACCGCCCGUCACAUCAUGGAAGUGGGUUGCACCAGAAGUGGUUAGUCUAACCUUCGGGAAGACGAUCACCACGGUGUGAUUCAUGACUGGGAUGAAGUCGUA